UGUGCCAUGGGCAGUAUAUUUUGAUUCUUUUUGCGUGAUAUUUAUUCAUCCCUUCAACCGCCUCAUCUCGGAUCCCAAUUGUCUCGAGUUAAUCACUGAUGCACAAUCUAAUUGCACGCUGGGCACGAGUAAAAACGACGUGCUGGGGCGUGGGUUGGUGCCUCAGAUAGCAAGGUAUACGCAAUCGAAGCAGCAUGGAAGUUUCGUGGUAGGUGGGGACCGGUUUGGGGUCCACGAGAUAAGUUCUAGGGUGUUCUAGGAGCUGAGAAAGAGUGAUGUGUAGAUGGGCUUAAAAAUUACCGACAAGUAGAAGGGGAGUCAACUAAAGAUUCAAGUAGCAAAACAACCAACGGUGAAGGAUUGCAACUUCGUUGGUAUUGAAUCGAUAACGAUUUUGGAGCAGUUAGAAGCUUUAAGAAGGUGGCCGGGCUGAAUAAAUGAAUUUCAGCGUCCGAAAUACCUCUUGAAACAGCUUUUGAAGCCUCGUGUGAUGGUGCUCACAUCGGAACUCCUACUUGUAGUAGUAUGUUACUGGGACUGGAUGGAGACAUCUUGAUCUGCUGGAUAAGAGAUUUAUUUUGAACCACUCAAGUCCAUUAGAUUCAUUGGAUGACUUGGUUGAUUGAUUGAAAAGAACUGCAGAAAUCUGAUCAGCAGAUUGCUAUAGCUGGCUUAC
This 676-nucleotide unclassified non-coding RNA is filed under the name Yarrowia lipolytica. Lineage: Eukaryota; Fungi; Ascomycota; Dipodascomycetes; Dipodascales. The record is from RNAcentral.